GACGAACGCUGGCGGCGUGCUUAACACAUGCAAGUCGAACGAUGAAGCUGGAGCUUGCUCCGGUGGAUUAGUGGCGAACGGGUGAGUAACACGUGAGCAAUCUGCCCUUGACUCUGGGAUAACUGCGGGAAGCUGUAGCUAAUACCGGAUAUGAGGCUUGGAGGCAUCUCCAGGUCUGGAAAGAAUUUCGGUCAAGGAUGAGCUCGCGGCCUAUCAGCUAGUUGGUGAGGUAAUGGCUCACCAAGGCGACGACGGGUAGCCGGCCUGGAAGGGUGACCGGCCACACUGGGACUGCGACACGGCCCAGACUCCUACGGGGGGCAGCAGGGGGGAAGAGUGCACAAUGGGCGAAAGCCUGAUGCAGCAACGCCGCGUGAGGGAUGAAGGCCUUCGGGUUGUAAACCUCUUUUAGCAGGGAAGGAGCGAAAGUGACGGUACCUGCAGAAAAAGCACCGGCUAACUACGUGCCAGCCGCCGCCGUAA
This 483-nucleotide ribosomal RNA is filed under the name uncultured bacterium. RNAcentral describes it as "partial 16S ribosomal RNA". It matches the Rfam family "Bacterial small subunit ribosomal RNA", at positions 28 to 523 of the family's 1533-position model. The record is from RNAcentral.